RNAcentral lists this unclassified non-coding RNA (1543 nucleotides) under Hevea brasiliensis (rubber tree). Lineage: Eukaryota; Viridiplantae; Streptophyta; Magnoliopsida; Malpighiales; Euphorbiaceae. The record is from RNAcentral.
CCCCUAAAAUUUAUUCUACACUCAUUGUCUCUGAUCAUACAUUAACUCAAUAGCGGAAAACAUUACAUGAUAUCCCAUCACGAGGGUGAUGUCAAACACCAUAUACACAAAAUACUUGAAAAAUACAAAUCCCAGUGUCUUUGAACAUGCACUCAUAACUCUCUGUGUACCAAAAGAAUUUCAACUUUCGAACUUUCAGUAAAGGUAUGUCACAAACUGCCACUUUCAGCAGCAACCUUAUCCUUGUAUGUUUCUGAGGCGGAUGCCAACUCCACUGUUAGAUUCUCAAACUUCUCCUUCAAUGUCAUGGCAUCUAAAGCAGAAAGAAUCUUCUCCUUGAUUUCACAUUCUAAUUUUUCAACUUUUCCUGAACUUGAACCUUCCGUUAUCUCUGAUCUCAACUCCUCAAUUUUGUUACUAAGGCCUGCUGCAUCUAUCGCUCUUUCAAUUUCCUCUGAGAUUUCUUUAUUAACUCUCUCUAUUUUCUCUCGUAAAGCAGGAGGUGGAGUUGCCACAUUUCUCUUGGCUACUUCAACAAUCUGCAACCCAGAUGACUUCAGAACUUUCAUCAGCUCUUUCUUAGCUUUUUCUGCUUCCUCCACCAAAUCCUUAUCUAAUGGGUCCCCUUUGGACAACUUUUCUUCAGCAUUUUUUAGAAGUUCCAUCCUUGCUUUUAAAUCCUCNUUCUGGUUAAUCUCUGCUUUUAGUUUCUCAUUUCUGUCUUUUAGCUCGUUAAGCCGAUGAACGAGGUUCAACUUUUCAAGCUUCUGCUUUAGCCCAAGAUAAGCUCCUGGUCGUGACAGAUUAUGCUUAAAUUCUUCCAUUAUUUUGUCUGCCUUCUCCUUUAAGUUACAAUUGAUGGGCUGAUCAGGUGGACGAUUCGGGGCUUUAGAUAACUCCAACUUGACUGAUUCAAGCUUUUCCUGCAAGCCCAUUGAAAUAAAAGCAUUGGUUAUCUCAUUGUCUAUAUCUUGCUUGAGCUUCUCAAUUGCGUCACUCGAAAUUGGAUCAGAUGAUGGUCUUCUGGAUUCUAGAAUCUUCUUCUUCAAAUUUUCAAGCUCCAGCUCUAUAUCAGCCGUCUUUGGCUGGUUGGCCUCAGAUGGCUUCAUGUUGCGUUUCCUCUCUGGCUCAACUGGGAUACCUUCUUGAAAGCCUCCAAUAUAUCUGAACUUACGCAUUCGGUGACGGAGCAACUCUUCCUUGUCCAUAUUCCCUAGUUCCUCCAUGGCUUGGAUAAUUGCAAGCUUAAUUUGUUGGGAAGUCCACAUAGGAUCUGCAUGUGCACCUCCUAGAGGCUCAGGAAUGAUGCCAUCGGCAAUUUUGAGCCUGUAAUGUUCUUGAGCUGUUAUCCUUAGUUUCUCAGCUGCCUUUGGAGCUGCUUGGGAAGACUUCCAUAAUAUUGCAGCACAUGCUUCAGGACUUGCAACAUAGAAAGCGGAAUUCUCCAGCAUAAACAGUUUAUUGGCACAAGCAAUAGCAAGAGCUCCACCUGAACCACCUUCGCCAGUUACAACUGUCAGAAUAGGCACUUUCAGGCCAAACA